Molecule: ribosomal RNA, 335 nt
Filed under: uncultured bacterium
Lineage: Bacteria
Description: bacterial SSU rRNA
Rfam family: Bacterial small subunit ribosomal RNA
Source: RNAcentral
AAGUGGAGCAAUCCAUGGGUAAAGUGGCGACCGGGUGAGUAACACGUGACUACCUACCCUUGAGUGGGGGAUAACCUCGGGAAACCGAGGCUAAUACCGCAUAAUAUCGAGAGAUCAAAGGAGCAAUCCGCUUUUGGAGGGGGUCGCGGCUGAUUAGCUAGUUGGUAGGGUAAUGGCCUACCAAGGCGAAGAUCGGUAUCCGGCCUGAGAGGGCGCACGGACACACUGGAACUGAAACACGGUCCAGACUCCUACGGGAGGCAGCAGUGGGGAAUUUUGCGCAAUGGGGGAAACCCUGACGCAGCAACGCCGCGUGGAGGAUGAAGCCCCUUGGG